Molecule: non-coding RNA, 155 nt
Filed under: uncultured Romboutsia sp.
Lineage: Bacteria; Bacillati; Bacillota; Clostridia; Peptostreptococcales; Peptostreptococcaceae
Source: RNAcentral
AAAAUAGGUUCUUAUAGAUUAAAAGGGAAAAAGGUUAAAUGCCUUUGCAGCCCCCGCUACUGUAAAACUGACGAAACUAUAAACGCCACUGUCUCUUGACGGGAAGGUAUAGGAGUAGGAUGAAGUUGAGCCAGGAUACCUGCCUAAUUUAAUUG